CCCGCGUACCGGCUAGGUAUAUUAAUCUGUGUUGGUGCUUGUUGCAUGCGCAUCUUCGGGUGCGCUUAUUUGAACUAUUGUUUAGCAAACCUUGAUUAUUA
This 101-nucleotide unclassified non-coding RNA is filed under the name soil metagenome. RNAcentral describes it as "partial internal transcribed spacer 1". The record is from RNAcentral.